UGGGGUGUGGCUCAAUGGCAGAGCUUGCCUAGCACGUGGGAGGCACUGAGUUCGAUCCUCAGCACCACAU
Molecule: transfer RNA, 70 nt
Filed under: Marmota monax (woodchuck)
Lineage: Eukaryota; Metazoa; Chordata; Mammalia; Rodentia; Sciuridae
Description: tRNA.Ala
Rfam family: tRNA
About the family: Transfer RNA (tRNA) molecules are approximately 80 nucleotides in length. Their secondary structure includes four short double-helical elements and three loops (D, anti-codon, and T loops). Further hydrogen bonds mediate the characteristic L-shaped molecular structure. tRNAs have two regions of fundamental functional importance: the anti-codon, which is responsible for specific mRNA codon recognition, and the 3' end, to which the tRNAs corresponding amino acid is attached (by aminoacyl-tRNA synthetases). tRNAs cope with the degeneracy of the genetic code in two manners: having more than one tRNA (with a specific anti-codon) for a particular amino acid; and 'wobble' base-pairing, i.e. permitting non-standard base-pairing at the 3rd anti-codon position.
Source: RNAcentral